This 578-nucleotide long non-coding RNA is filed under the name Gopherus agassizii (Agassiz's desert tortoise). RNAcentral's name for it is "lncRNA (ENSGAGG00000012165.1)". The record is from RNAcentral. Lineage: Eukaryota; Metazoa; Chordata; Testudines; Testudinidae.
UUAUGUGGGGUUUCAGUUGUUAAUCAACUGAACUCACAACACUUUUCUCACCCCACCCCUUUUCUCCCAGGGCUUGAACGUGGAGGGGUUUCGCCUUGAGCAACAUGAUGUUCCCCGGAAGAGGACACCCAAAUAGUUUCUUCCAUCCCUGCCCUCAGGAUAUCAGCCCCUCCGCCUACCCUGCUGACUUUCUCAGGGAUGACGAGGGCAUGGGGUGGGCGCCCCAGGACCAUCAGGAGGCAGCCAGCUGGGAUUACCGACACGGGAGACGCGAGGAAGGCUUCAGGGACAGGUGGCACUCGCCCUUUUCCCGAGACAUUGAACCCUACCCCGCUGACUUUUACGGGGGUGACAGCGGUGGAUGCUGGGCACCCCAGGACCAUCAGCAGCCAGCCAGGUGGGAGAACCAACCUGGGAGACAUGAGGAUGGUUUCAGGGAUGAGUGGCACUCGGCCACACCACCUAACCAGCACUGCCCGGAGUCAGUAUCGAGGGAGGAACAUGGCAACUCCUGGGACAGGCAGGUGUCAGCAGGGGAGGCGCUCGGGUGGCGACGGGAGAAGGGUGUUUUGGCUGGU